Orcinus orca (killer whale) is the source of this 420-nucleotide long non-coding RNA. RefSeq lists it as uncharacterized. The record is from RefSeq and is a predicted model, not a curated record. Lineage: Eukaryota; Metazoa; Chordata; Mammalia; Artiodactyla; Delphinidae. The transcript has 3 exons.
GUUAUUUUAAGAUUUUAAUGUAUAUCUUACCUGACAAAUAUUUCACUUUUGCUAUUAGGAAGACAGCUUGCAGAAGACCGGGAACAGUUCUUACUAUAGUCUCCAGGAUUGAGUUUACUCUCGGCAGAGCUGCCAGAAGACUCCUUUUAAAAUGCUGAACUGGAUCAUGCUGGAAGCCUUCUGGUGGCUCCCCUCUGUACUCAGAACUGAAGCCAGAGAAGUUACCACACUGGUCUCUGUGCUGAGACCUCACGGCUUACUGACUACAGCUCUCCUACACCAAUUCUCUGCUCCAGCUACACACACCCCUGCUGGAACAUAAAGGAAGGGGAUCCAGAGAUGAACCUAAUCCUGAACCAUUUCCACAUAUUUGCCCAUCGAGUUCUCCUGUCUGAGAAGAUCACGUCCCCAUUUCCACAG